Non-coding RNA from Acanthosepion pharaonis, 106 nucleotides. NCBI's taxonomy places the organism in Eukaryota, Metazoa, Mollusca, Cephalopoda, Sepiida, Sepiidae. The record is from the annotation of a GenBank genome assembly.
GGCCACAUCACGUUGAAACACUAGCUUCCAUAUGAUCCCCAAAGUUAAGCAAUGUUGAGUCUAGCCAGUACCUAGAUGAGUAAUUGCUUGGGAAUACCAGGUGUUA